GGUGAGAUGGUCGAGUGGUCGAAGGCGCAUGCCUGGAACGUAUGUGUAGAGCAAUCUACCGAGGGUUCGAAUCCCUCUCUCAUCGCCA
This 88-nucleotide transfer RNA is filed under the name Psychrilyobacter atlanticus. It matches the Rfam family "tRNA". Rfam says of the family: Transfer RNA (tRNA) molecules are approximately 80 nucleotides in length. Their secondary structure includes four short double-helical elements and three loops (D, anti-codon, and T loops). RNAcentral also lists the same sequence under 5 other names. The record is from RNAcentral. Lineage: Bacteria; Fusobacteriati; Fusobacteriota; Fusobacteriia; Fusobacteriales; Fusobacteriaceae.